RNAcentral lists this ribosomal RNA (460 nucleotides) under uncultured bacterium. RNAcentral's name for it is "partial 16S ribosomal RNA". It matches the Rfam family "Bacterial small subunit ribosomal RNA", at positions 338 to 795 of the family's 1533-position model. The record is from RNAcentral.
CCUACGGGUGGCAGCAGUGAGGAAUAUUGGUCAAUGGACGAGAGUCUGAACCAGCCAAGUAGCGUGAAGGAUGACUGCCCUAUGGGUUGUAAACUUCUUUUAUAUGGGAAUAAAACGUUCCACGUGUGGGAUUUUGUAUGUACCAUAUGAAUAAGGAUCGGCUAACUCCGUGCCAGCAGCCGCGGUAAUACGGAGGAUCCGAGCGUUAACCGGAUUUAUUGGGUUUAAAGGGAGCGUAGGUGGAUUGUUAAGUCAGUUGUGAAAGUUUGCGGCUCAACCGUAAAAUUGCAGUUGAAACUGGCAGUCUUGAGUACAGUAGAGGUGGGCGGAAUUCGUGGUGUAGCGGUGAAAUGCUUAGAUAUCACGAAGAACUCCGAGUGCGAAGGCAGUUCACUGGACUGCAACUGACACUGAGGCUCGAAAGUGUGGGUAUCAAACAGGAUUAGAUACCCUAGUAGUC